CACAUUCAACCAAAAAAAAAACUCUAUAACAUUUGAAAAUUUUCAAUUUUGCCCUUAGUUAAAAUUUAAAAGAUGAAAACCUACAAUUAUUUUAUCUCACGAUUUCUCUCUAACUAGUAGCCCCCUCUUCGAUUUUCAUCCAUUUUCCCAACCGUUGCCAUCGAUUCAAAUCAGGUGCUGCCAUGAAUUCAUCUUAAAAUAAGAAGAACAAGACGAAAACAAAGGUAAAUUUUUAUGAUUUUAUAGAUUUAUUUAGUUGUUGAUAUGUUAGUUUUUUUGAUUUGUUGAGUUUAUGAUUCUGUUUGGUUGCUGAGAAAAUUAUGGCUAAUUUAUUUUUGUUUUGUUUGUUUAUUGAACUAGACUUCAUUAUUUUCCUUGAUUAAUUAAUUAUGGAUAAGUUUAUUGAACUAGCCUUGAUUCGUUUGUUUGGUGGGUUUAUGAUUUUGUUUGGUUGCUGAGAAAAUUAUAGCUUAGUUAUUUUUGUUUUGUUUUGUUUAUUGAACUAGCUUUGAUUAAUUAAUUAUAACUGAGAUUAUUAAAAAAUAGCACCAAUCAGAGCUAGAAAGAAAAAACUCUCAUGAAAAAGCUAAUAGGACUAGGAGAGUUUAUUAAGCUGGUACUUUUUCUACUCGCAUUUAGUAGUUUUUUCAUUUUAUUCUUAAAAUUAAAAUAAAAUUUGCAUCGUAGUUGAUUUUUUUCCUUCUCACAUAGUGAAUAUAUAUUUAACUCAGUUCAUUUGUUUUUGUUCGAAAUGGUUCAUAGGAAUGAUGAGAGAAAUGAAUGGCAAAUUCUGCAUAAUUGCUUUUCUUUAUUGGGAAUUAUUUUCGGUCUUAUUUUGAUGGUUUUCUAUUCUUUACGUUUCUAGAUGUUAACUGAUUUGUAACUGAAAAUGGAAAUGAUUAUACUUGAAUUAUAGUGCAAUGUAAUUGAAAGCUAUGGACUAGCAUUGAAUUGGUAAAAUAGUAGUGGGAUUUGGUUGACAUUGACUUGUUUUAACUUCUUUUCUUUUCAGAUAUAAGUUGGUACACAAUCACUGGAAGGGAUCACAACUACCCGGAGAUAUUGCGAAGAUUUAGUGACUUCCUAGAUUUACUUUCAUAAGUAAGUGGGCAUUUCAUUUGUAGCACCUUUAAAAGUAAAUUAAGUUUUUACUUAGUUCCUGUGCUUUUUUAAUUGUUUUUCCCCUGUUCAAGUAAACUUUUGCAAUUAUUAUGCAUAUCUUGCAACUUUUAACCUUAUUAUUCUAAUUGAGUAUGUAUGUAUGAAUUUUGUUUUUAAAAUUAAGACAUGAAUAAUUCUUUAAUAAUAUAAUUGCUUAGGAAAUGGUUUAAGGUACUUCUCCUAGCCAUAUUUAUUAUGAUUAUUUCUGGUAUUAUAUAAAAAAUUUAGUGCUCCAAUUACUAUUAUUUUUUCCUACAUUGAUGAUAGAACUGCUUAGGAGCACUAGAUGGUACAUGUAUUAGGGUGAGAGUGCCUGCAACGGAUAAACCUACGUAUCGAAAUCAAAAGGGAGAGAUUGCCACUAAUGUUUUGGGAGUAUGCUCCCAAGACAUGCAAUUCAUUUAUGUUUUAAGUGGUUGGGAAGGGUCAGCGGCUGAUGGUAGGGUUCUUCAUGACGCUAUAUAUAAAACAAAUGGUUUAAAUGCCCCAAAUGGUAAGUCAUAUUCAAGAAAUAAAUAAAUUCUGAAAUAUAAACUUUUAGUAAUUGAAAUCUGAAUAUUUAUUUAUGAUAUAAGUUACUACUAUUUAAUAGUUGCUGGAUAUGCUAAUUGUCGAGGAUUUCCUGCUUCUUAUUGUGGACAAUGGUACUACCUUAAUGACUGGAAGAAAAACUAUCAACCAACUAUUUCACAAGAGUUUUUUUAACAUGAAGCAUUCAGCUGCUAGGAAUGUUAUUGAGAGAUGUUUUGGUGUUCUUAAAAAUCGGGUGGGCAAUUUUAAAAAAUCUUUCAUUUUAUCCUAUCAAGACACAUAAUAAGAUUAUUAUGACUAGUUGCUUACCACACAAAUUAAUCAGGAAGGAGAUGCCAUGUGAUCCUUUUGAGGAAGCAUUUGAUGAUGUAAAUGAGGUGGAAUCACUUAGAGAUAGCACGAUAACUAGUAUAGAAACCUCAGAAGAGUGGAAUACAUGGAGGACACAUUUAGCACAAGAGAUGUAUCAUCAAUGGAGAGCAAGCAGGCAGAGCACAUGAAGGCUCCUUGAAAAUUUUUGUUUUAAUCAAUGGAUUGUAUAUGUACUAUUCAUGUUUCUAAAUUUGAGGAUUUUGUUUUAUUUGGGUAACUUUUGAUAUUGUUUAAAAAAAUUGGAUUUGCUUCAGUUUCAAGUUUUUUUGUAGUUAAGUAUGUUGACUUUAAUGAAUAUUAGUGAAUGUAUUAUUAUUUUUAUCAAAUAAAUAUGUAAUCUUUGCCUCUAAAAAAUUGGAUUUACUUUAAUUUUAGAUUUUUUUGCAGUUACAUUUGCUGAAUCUAAUGAAUAUUGGUGAAUGUAUUAUUAUUGUUAUCAAAUAAAUAUGCAACCUUUGCCUCUAAAAAAUUGGAUUUGCUUUAGUUUCAGUUUUU
Molecule: long non-coding RNA, 2559 nt
Filed under: Citrus maxima (pomelo)
Lineage: Eukaryota; Viridiplantae; Streptophyta; Magnoliopsida; Sapindales; Rutaceae
Description: long non-coding RNA (CMAX_LNC002737)
Source: RNAcentral